AGUGAACGCUGGCGGUAGGCCUAACACAUGCAAGUCGAACGGCAGCACAGUAAGAGCUUGCUCUUACGGGUGGCGAGUGGCGGACGGGUGAGGAAUACAUCGGAAUCUACUUUUUCGUGGGGGAUAACGUAGGGAAACUUACGCUAAUACUGCAUACGACCUACGGGUGAAAGCAGGGGAUCUUCGGACCUUGCGCGAUUGAAUGAGCCGAUGUUGGAUUAGCUAGUUGGCGGGGUAAAGGCCCACCAAGGCGACGAUCCGUAGCUGGUCUGAGAGGAUGAUCAGCCACACUGGAACUGAGACACGGUCCAGACUCCUACGGGAGGCAGCAGUGGGGAAUAUUGGACAAUGGGCGCAAGCCUGAUCCAGCCAUACCGCGUGGGUGAAGAAGGCCUUCGGGUUGUAAAGCCCUUUUGUUGGGAAAGAAAAGCAGCAGGUUAAUACCCCGCUGUUCUGACGGUACCCAAAGAAUAAGCACCGGCUAACUUCGUG
This 492-nucleotide ribosomal RNA is filed under the name uncultured bacterium. RNAcentral describes it as "partial 16S ribosomal RNA". It matches the Rfam family "Bacterial small subunit ribosomal RNA", at positions 29 to 507 of the family's 1533-position model. The record is from RNAcentral.